RNAcentral lists this ribosomal RNA (749 nucleotides) under Salmonella enterica. RNAcentral's name for it is "bacterial SSU rRNA". It matches the Rfam family "Bacterial small subunit ribosomal RNA", at positions 685 to 1431 of the family's 1533-position model. Lineage: Bacteria; Pseudomonadati; Pseudomonadota; Gammaproteobacteria; Enterobacterales; Enterobacteriaceae. The record is from RNAcentral.
AAUGCGCAGAUAUCAGGAGGAACACCGAUGGCGAAGGCAGGUCUCUGGGCCACUACUGACGCUGAGAAGCGAAAGCAUGGGGAGCGAACAGGAUUAGAUACCCUGGUAGUCCAUGCCGUAAACGUUGGGAACUAGGUGUGGGUCUCAUUCCACGAGAUCCGUGCCGCAGCUAACGCAUUAAGUUCCCCGCCUGGGGAGUACGGCCGCAAGGCUAAAACUCAAAGGAAUUGACGGGGGCCCGCACAAGCGGCGGAGCAUGCGGAUUAAUUCGAUGCAACGCGAAGAACCUUACCAAGGCUUGACAUAUGCGAGAACGCGGCAGAGAUGUCGUUCUCUUUGGACACUCGCAUACAGGUGGUGCAUGGUUGUCGUCAGCUCGUGUCGUGAGAUGUUGGGUUAAGUCCCGCAACGAGCGCAACCCUCGUUCUAUGUUGCCAGCACGUGAUGGUGGGGACUCAUAGGAGACUGCCGGGGUCAACUCGGAGGAAGGUGGGGAUGACGUCAAAUCAUCAUGCCCCUUAUGUCUUGGGCUUCACGCAUGCUACAAUGGCCGGUACAAAGGGCUGCGAUACCGCGAGGUGGAGCGAAUCCCAAAAAACCGGUCUCAGUUCGGAUUGGGGUCUGCAACUCGACCCCAUGAAGUCGGAGUCGCUAGUAAUCGCAGAUCAGCAACGCUGCGGUGAAUACGUUCCCGGGCCUUGUACACACCGCCCGUCAAGUCACGAAAGUCGGUAACACCCGAAGCCGGU